RNAcentral lists this long non-coding RNA (850 nucleotides) under Mytilus galloprovincialis (Mediterranean mussel). Lineage: Eukaryota; Metazoa; Mollusca; Bivalvia; Mytilida; Mytilidae. The record is from RNAcentral.
AAAUGUAUUAUACAAGAAAGGUAAAUUCAAUUGAAUCCAUAUGAGAUCACUCCUUAAAAAAGUAUGAUUCUUAAUUUCUUGGUAUUAGCUGAGAGAAAAAUGUUUUAGCUCUCUCCUGUUUUCUAUCUAAUUAUUGUAUAAAGAUGAUUAUAAAAAAAAAACUUUUAAUAACUAUUAAAGUAUUUUUUUAGUUUUAGUUAUUUCCCCAUAAAAUUGUUGCUACACUAGAAAUAUUAAAGAACAAAAGGUCAAUAUCCAAAUGUCCCUUGUUGGUAAAUAUUACAAAGAGGACACAUUUAUGGACCUACAUAUUCAAGUUUGUUCACAUCAAUCCAUGGAUUUAGAAAUAGCCAUUAGUACAUAGUAGCCUUUUACUUGUAAUCUUAAUUAGCUACUUGAAUAACUGCAAAGUCUUGUAUGAUGAUUUUCUGAUGCAAUUAUAGAUACCGGUAAACAAUUUUGUUAUGAUGUUGUAAAAACUGCUUGCAAAAUUCAAAUUAACAUCAGUCUCAUAUUAUUUUUUUAUAUAUAUAUAUUCCAUAUAAUUAUAAAAGAAGAUGUGGUAUGAUAGCAAAUAAGACAACCAUCUACAAGAGACAAAAUGACACAGAAAUUAACAGCUUUAGUCUACAAGAUAAGGUCUUCAACAAUGAGCAAAGCCCAUACUAUAUAGUCAGCUAUCACAAAUGUAAGACAAUUCAAACGAGAAAACUAACAGGCUUAUUAAUUUAAAUGCUAAAAUUUUUUUAACAAAAAACAAAUAUGUAAGACAGCAACAAACGUCAACAACUGAAUUACAGGCUCUGACUUGGGACAGGCACAUACAUACAGAAUGUUUAGGAUAUUAAGC